RNAcentral lists this ribosomal RNA (402 nucleotides) under Bacteroidota bacterium. Its description in RNAcentral is "Bacteroidetes bacterium partial 16S ribosomal RNA". It matches the Rfam family "Bacterial small subunit ribosomal RNA", at positions 355 to 776 of the family's 1533-position model. Lineage: Bacteria; Pseudomonadati; Bacteroidota. The record is from RNAcentral.
UGGGGAAUUUUGCACAAUGGGGGAAACCCUGAUGCAGCGACGCCGCGUGAUUUAGAAGGCCUUCGGGUUGUAAAAAUCUUUUCUAUGGGAAGAAAAUGACAGUACCAUAGGAAUAAGGACCGGCUAAUUACGUGCCAGCAGCCGCGGUAAUACGUAAGGUCCGAGCGUUGUCCGGAAUCAUUGGGCGUAAAGGGUACGUAGGCGGGUAAGCAAGUUAGAAGUGAAAUCCUGUAGCUCAACUACAGUAAGCUUUUAAAACUGCUCAUCUUGAGAUAUGGAAGGGAAAGUGGAAUUCCUAGUGUAGCGGUGAAAUGCGCAGAUAUUAGGAGGAAUACCGGUGGCGAAGGCGGGUCUCUGGGCCGUUACUGACGCUGAGGAGCGAAAGCGUGGGGAGCGAACAGG